CACUAUCCUCCCUUCGCUACUUUCUCUCCGACAAAAAAUCCUUUCCUUAUCCUCUUUCCCUCGUCUAGAUCAAAUCCGGUGAAGCAGCGGCUAGGGAGGUCGAGGCGAGGCGGCGGACCGGAUGAGCCUGGAGAGCAGAUCAGCCGGCAAGCCGGACCAGCAGCGCCGCCGUCUCCUCCUUGCUCUUUCUAUGAGCAGGAGCAGGGGUCGCCCAGCCGCCGCAGCCCCGACGGGAAAGGGCCGCCGCGGUCCUCCUCUCGGCUACGCGCUUGGCCGCCGCGCUCCUCCAGCCACCUCCCAGCGCCGCCCGCCGCGCCAAGUACACCCCGGCCGCCUCCUCCACUUGCCUACUCCUGGCGGCGCGCGCCGCGCCUAGCACGCGCACGGCCGUUCCCCUCCUGCUGCCUCCUCCUAGCGACGCACGCCGCGGUCGGGAGGGCCUGUUUCCCUAGGUCCCCAACGCCGACGGUCGAUUACAGUGCCAUCUAGGUGUUGUUGCUGCAUACUUGGGUGGGAGAUUGAACAUAUGUGCCUACUUUCUUCUAUCGGCAGAGUUGAGCUUGCCGGUCGGGCGUCACGCCUCUGAGCUCCUACGCGGAGGACGACCUAGGCCUCAGAUUUGGUGUUUCGUGUCUGCAGCUGCAGUUUCCGAGCCCAAAAUGGCUGGAGAAGGAGAUGUGCGUGACAAUGAAACAGAGGGUUCUGCAAAUACGAUCUCACGACGGAACUCAAAAAGGGCUGCUAAGCGGCAGCCGCGUGGCGAUGAUAAGGACGGGGAUGGAGAGGGUGACGAUGGUGGUGAAAGAUUCCUCUUAGUAAAACUGCAGAGAAGAAAGGUGCGCACGGAGGCAGUAUCCAAAGGGGUAGAUGCCACAUCUUCUGCAGCAGCCGCUGAGGGGGGGUGAGGGUAAUGAAGGAGAUAAUGCAGAACGACAGUCACAAGCUGGUAGGAUAAGGGCAUCACCUGGGAGGUUGGUGAAGUUGAACAAUAAGUUGAGCCCAUUACAAAAGUCCCCCCUCUGCCACAAGCUGUUUGGAGGCCUGGAUUCAUGUUUUAGUUGCACACAUUUACAGAAAAAGUUGGCUUUACAUUCAUGUUUAGUUGCACAAAUAUGUGUUUUUUUUGCACAGACUGCACACAUCCAUGUUUGUGUGUGUUGAUUGCACACAUUUACAGCAAAAGCUGGCUUUUGGAUCCAUGGUUAGUUUGCACAUCUCUUUUCUAGUCUUGGCUGUUUGGUUGCACACAUAGAAGGAAAAGUUGGUUUUGGAUCCAUGUUUUAGUUGGCACAAAUAUAGGCUUCUAUUUGCACACAUGGCAUAAAAAGGUUUCUUUUGGAACCCAUGUUUUUUUA
This is a non-coding RNA of Aegilops tauschii subsp. strangulata, 1355 nucleotides long. The record is from RefSeq and is a predicted model, not a curated record. Lineage: Eukaryota; Viridiplantae; Streptophyta; Magnoliopsida; Poales; Poaceae.